Molecule: ribosomal RNA, 505 nt
Filed under: uncultured bacterium
Lineage: Bacteria
Description: partial 16S ribosomal RNA
Rfam family: Bacterial small subunit ribosomal RNA
Source: RNAcentral
GACGAACGCUGGCGGCGUGCCUAAUACAUGCAAGUAGAACGCACAGUUUAUACCGUAGCUUGCUACACCAUAAACUGUGAGUUGCGAACGGGUGAGUAACGCGUAGGUAACCUGCCUGGUAGCGGGGGAUAACUAUUGGAAACGAUAGCUAAUACCGCAUAAUAUUGAUUAUUGCAUGAUAAUUGAUUGAAAGAUGCUAUUGCAUCACUACCAGAUGGACCUGCGUUGUAUUAGCUAGUAGGUGAGGUAACGGCUCACCUAGGCGACGAUACAUAGCCGACCUGAGAGGGUGAUCGGCCACACUGGGACUGAGACACGGCCCAGACUCCUACGGGAGGCAGCAGUAGGGAAUCUUCGGCAAUGGACGAAAGUCUGACCGAGCAACGCCGCGUGAGUGAAGAAGGUUUUCGGAUCGUAAAGCUCUGUUGUAAGAGAAGAACGGGUGUGAGAGUGGAAAGUUCACAAUGUGACGGUAGCUUACCAGAAAGGGACGGCUAACUACGUG